GUUCAUAUCUGUGGGGCAGCUGGAGGGGGGACCCCAGAAAGCAUGGAGGCGACAUCGGGCACGUCAGGGUACCAGCGUGGCCGGCAGCCCCAGCGCAGCUGCAGCAGGAUGAGAUUGUCUUUCAGCUUCCCCAGGGAACAGAGCAAAAGCCAGCAGCAGCUGAACACCAGCAUGAAGCGAAGUAAAAGUCUCCCAGAUCUCCACUGCAGUAGUCCAGGAGGAAAAGGACAGCCCAGUAACUCGGCUCCCUGCAGGCUCCUGCACAGGCAGCUUCCCUGCUCGUUGGCCACCACCGGCAGAAUGUGAUAUCCCUGCAUCCCCUCCCCAAACAGCCUGCUGCUGCCUGUGUGGUGCAAGCCUGCCAAUAAAGUCCUGAAAGUAUUCCUGUCUCUUGUCUGGCUGCUAGCGCUGUGCUGCUGGAAAGGGGCUGUGUGGUGGCUGGGAGAGGGGCAAAGGGGGCACGAUGGAGUUGGGGGGUGAGAGCCACUGGGGAGAGGGUCCUGGGGUGCGCUGAGCCCCUGAAACUUGACGGGAAGCAAGGCACAGAGGAAGGUGGUGCUGAGCCAGGAGGAAGCAGUCCAGAGGUCUGCGCCCAUCCCUGUGCAUGGGCAUGUGGUGCUGGCUUGUCCCAAAGGUGCUUCUCUGUCGUACUGGGACAAAGGAAGGCACGACUGUGGUCUGAGCAGCGAUGAGGGGAGCAGAAGGGGUUGGGGCGGCUGUUUCUGUCCUUUCUGGCCCCAAACAACAUUGCUGCAGAGCAGCUGGGCUGCAUUCCCAAGUCUGGCACAGACCCUGAUGGUCUCAGCAGCGUUUAAGUUGUUACAUUUUUAUUUUAAAGGAACCUCUUUAAAAAUAAAUGCUUAUCCCUGAGGACUUGGCAAAGGCCAGGAGAGGGAGGACAAAUAAUAAUGAAACAAACAGAAAACUGAAGAUUGAGGCCAGAGCCUCAACCUGCCGUGAGCGGCUCAUCCCUUGGGUACCGUGGGAUGCUGAGGGAGAUGCUGCCAGCGCCCCUUUGUGAGCAGACAGUGGGGCCAGCCCCCCGCCCGUCACCCCUGGCAAUGGGGGGGUUAUCACCACCGCUCACAACGGGCCCCCUUCCCCAGCACCCCCUCCUCACCACCAGUGGGUCGGUGCCGGGGGGCCGAGUAGGUGCGGGGAUGGCGCGGCACCGCCAAGGCCAUGGCAGACGGCACGGGGGGAGUGGCGGUGGCCGGGACAGGGUACCCCCCAGCCGCAGGAACAGGAAAUAUCGGAGGUUUUCCAACAAGCCGCUGAGCAAGAAGAAAGGGUACGUGCGUGUCUGUGCCACCUACUACUACUGGAAAAAGAGAUGAACGUGCCCGCAUCUGCCUCUCCAUCGCCGUGCUCUGCCGGGGCAAGCAAAACCAAGCCCCAGAGCAGCCCAGGAACAGGACCAGCCGCAACACCAAGAGCAGCAUCACCCGCAGGCCCGCGCCCGGCCUCGGCAACAGCACGAGCAUGGAAAAGCUCCCAAUAAACCCCCCCAGGAUGCAGCCAGGGUGUGAUGGGAUGUGGGAUGGGGGAUAGGGGAUGCGAUUGAGGGGACAUGCUGCAAACCACAGCCAGACGCAAGGUUUCCUAGCCAAACUGGGCUCAGAGCACUCUAUGCCAUGUCUCCAUUGCGGAUGGGGGGCCAGAAGGGCAAAAAAUAAAUAAAUCUA
Molecule: long non-coding RNA, 1685 nt
Organism: Cygnus olor (mute swan)
Lineage: Eukaryota; Metazoa; Chordata; Aves; Anseriformes; Anatidae
Exons: 3
Source: RefSeq, a predicted model, not a curated record